UGGGGAAUAUUGCACAAUGGGCGCAAGCCUGAUGCAGCCAUGCCGCGUGUGUGAAGAAGGCCUUCGGGUUGUAAAGCACUUUCAGCGGGGAGGAAGGCGAUAAGGUUAAUAACCUUGUCGAUUGACGUUACCCGCAGAAGAAGCACCGGCUAACUCCGUGCCAGCAGCCGCGGUAAUACGGAGGGUGCAAGCGUUAAUCGGAAUUACUGGGCGUAAAGCGCACGCAGGCGGUCUGUCAAGUCGGAUGUGAAAUCCCCGGGCUUAACCUGGGAACUGCAUUCGAAACUGGCAGGCUAGAGUCUUGUAGAGGGGGGUAGAAUUCCAGGUGUAGCGGUGAAAUGCGUAGAGAUCUGGAGGAAUACCGGUGGCGAAGGAGGCCCCCUGGACAAAGACUGACGCUCAGGUGCGAAAGCGUGGGGAGCAAACAGG
RNAcentral lists this ribosomal RNA (429 nucleotides) under Chloroflexota bacterium. RNAcentral describes it as "Chloroflexi bacterium partial 16S ribosomal RNA". It matches the Rfam family "Bacterial small subunit ribosomal RNA", at positions 355 to 776 of the family's 1533-position model. Lineage: Bacteria; Bacillati; Chloroflexota. The record is from RNAcentral.